This 1488-nucleotide ribosomal RNA is filed under the name metagenome. RNAcentral describes it as "bacterial LSU rRNA". It matches the Rfam family "Bacterial large subunit ribosomal RNA", at positions 1443 to 2925 of the family's 2925-position model. The record is from RNAcentral.
UGAUUCUAGAUGCGAUGUGGGGACGGAGAAGGUUAGGUCAGCCGGGUGUUGGACGUCCCGGUUUAAGCGUGUAGGCGUGCCCCUUAGGCAAAUCCGGGGGGCUGAGCUGAGGCGUGAUGACGAGGAACCACGGCUCCGAAGUGAUUGAUACCAAGCUUCCAGGAAAAGCCACUAAGCUUCAGUCUAGAGUUGACCGUACCGCAAACCGACACAGGUGGGCAGGAUGAAAAUUCUAAGGCGCUUGAGAGAACUCAGGAGAAGGAACUCGGCAAAUUAACACCGUAACUUCGGGAGAAGGUGUGCCCCGGUAGCGUGUAGAGACUUGCUCUCGAAGCGCGAUGGGGUUGCAGUGAAAUGGUGGCUGCGACUGUUUAAUAAAAACACAGCACUCUGCAAACACGAAAGUGGACGUAUAGGGUGUGACGCCUGCCCGGUGCCGGAAGGUUAAGUGAUGGGGUGCAAGCUCUUGAUCGAAGCCCCGGUAAACGGCGGCCGUAACAAUAACGGUCCUAAGGUAGCGAAAUUCCUUGUCGGGUAAGUUCCGACCUGCACGAAUGGCGUAACGAUGGCCACACUGUCUCCUCCUGGGACUCAGCGAAGUUGAAAUGUUUGUGAAGAUGCAAUCUACCCGCGGCUAGACGGAAAGACCCCAUGAACCUUUACUGUAGCUUUGCAUUGGACUUUGAACCGGUUUGUGUAGGAUAGGUGGGAGACUGUGAAGCCGGGACGCUAGUUUCGGUGGAGUCAACCUUGAAAUACCACCCUGAUUUGUUUGAGGUUCUAACCUUGGUCCGUGAAUCCGGAUCGGGGACCGUGCAUGGUAGGCAGUUUGACUGGGGCGGUCUCCUCCCAAAAGGUAAUGGAGGAGUACGAAGGUACGCUUAGGGCGGUCGGACAUCGCCCACAAAGUGCAAUGGCAAAAGCGUGCUUGACUGCGAGACCCACAAGUCGAGCAGGUACGAAAGUAGGUCAUAGUGAUCCGGUGGUUCUGUAUGGAAGGGCCAUCGUUCAACGGAUAAAAGGUACUCUGGGGAUAACAGGCUAAUUCCUCCCAAGAGUUCAUAUCGACGGGGGAGUUUGGCACCUCGAUGUCGGCUCAUCACAUCCUGGGGCUGUAGUCGGUCCCAAGGGUAUGGCUGUUCGCCAUUUAAAGUGGUACGCGAGCUGGGUUUAAAACGUCGUGAGACAGUUUGGUCCCUAUCUGCCGUGGGCGCUGGAAAUUUGAAGGGGGCUGCUCCUAGUACGAGAGGACCGGAGUGGACGAACCUCUGGUGUACCGGUUAUGACGCCAGUCGUAUCGCCGGGUAGCUAAGUUCGGAAGAGAUAAACGCUGAAAGCAUCUAAGCGUGAAACUCGCCUUAAGAUAAGAUUUCCCGGAGUCUUGAACUCCCUGAAGGGUCGUCGAAGACCACGACGUUGAUAGGUCAGGUGUGGAAGCGCAGCAAUGCGUUAAGCUAACUGAUACUAAUUGCCCGUGCGGCUUGAUCC